Long non-coding RNA from Oncorhynchus keta (chum salmon), 413 nucleotides. RefSeq lists it as uncharacterized. Lineage: Eukaryota; Metazoa; Chordata; Actinopteri; Salmoniformes; Salmonidae. The transcript has 3 exons. The record is from RefSeq and is a predicted model, not a curated record.
AUUUGUUGUGGGUCUGUAAGGCACUGUGUUAGCGCUAGUGCUGGAGGCAGACAGAGAGUCAGUUUCUUGUAUUUGUUGUGGGUCUGUAAGGCACUGUGUUAGCGCUAGUGCUGGGGGCAGACAGAGAGUCAGUUCCUUGUAUUUGUUGUGGGUCUGUAAGACACUGUGUUAGCGCUAGUGCUGGAGGCAGACAGAGAGUCAGUUUCUUGUAUUUGUUGUGGGUCUGUAAGACACUGUGUUAGCGCUAGUGCUGGAGGGAGACAGAGAGUCAGUUUCUUGUAUUUGUUGUGGGUCUGUAAGGCACUGUGUUAGCGCUAGUGCUGGAGGCAGACAGAGAGUCAGUUUCUUGUAUUUGUUGUGGGUCUGUAAGGCACUGUGUUAGCGCUAGUGCUGGGGGCAGACAGAGAGUCAGG